UGUGUGCAGUUCGUUUGAUAGUCAUCUUUAUGGUCAAUUUGCAGGUUUUAUUUUUUCUUCUUUCUCUCCCGUUCGUAGAUUCAUAUCCGUAGAGUGUUGUGCACAUUAGAGUGUGUGCAGUGCAGUCCCAUAAAAGUUCACUCUCUAUCCGGGCCCUGAAACUCAGGCGAGGUCAUAAAAAAAACAAAACCCGUCCCAUGGUGUCCGUCGCCCGCGAGCAGCCGAAAGGAAAACGCCACACACACUACCUCUCUCUCUCUCUUUCCUUGGGACAACCUGUCGAUUAAUGAAGUGGAAAUGGGAACUUUUACUUUUUUUUUUAUUCCUGGUAGUUCGGCCGUGUGCGCAACAAAUGGUCGUUUUGCUCUGCAUCCUGCUGCUGGUGGCGCCGUUGCUUUUGGUGUAAGAUGUGUCUCUACGGUUAGAAACGGCAGUGGUUGGCCACAGAAGAAAAAAAAAACUGGCUAUUCAUUCCACAUGAAUCCAUCAUCACAUCAAUGCUCUCAGCUUAGCUUUUCCAAAAAACUCGCUCCACAAUCGCGAAAAAUCCCAUUUCAAGUACAAAUGCUUCCCUCCUGCCCGACAGCCCUUGGAGGAUUUGGUACCUCAAAACUCGGUAAAUACUGUUCAAACAUUUCCAUCAAUCAUUCCAAAAACGAUUUUUCAUCUUCAAAAUGUCCAUUCAAAUACU
Molecule: long non-coding RNA, 691 nt
Organism: Anopheles merus
Lineage: Eukaryota; Metazoa; Arthropoda; Insecta; Diptera; Culicidae
Exons: 3
Source: RefSeq, a predicted model, not a curated record